This 749-nucleotide ribosomal RNA is filed under the name Amblyseius largoensis. Its description in RNAcentral is "eukaryotic LSU rRNA". It matches the Rfam family "Eukaryotic large subunit ribosomal RNA", at positions 204 to 821 of the family's 3401-position model. Lineage: Eukaryota; Metazoa; Arthropoda; Arachnida; Mesostigmata; Phytoseiidae. The record is from RNAcentral.
CAGACUAGGUGAAAAGCCUGUUUGGUUGUGUCUGUCUGUUGAAUCGGAAUUCUUACGAGUCUAGUUGUUUGAGAGUACAACUUAAAGCUGGUGGUAAAUUUCAUCAAAGGCUAAAUAUAUGAGGGGACUAAUAGCGAACAAGUACCAUGAGGGAAAGUUGAAAAGAACUCUGACGAGAGAGUUCAACAGUGCGUGAAACCAUAUUGAGUAAAACAGAUAACUGUGUCGUUAUGCGGUGUGUCUAUCAACAGUAUAUCGGGUGUUGCGAUUCGGCGAGUGUGAGCUGUUUAUUCAGACGAUCGCUCGUUGUUAGCAUAGCUCGGGGUUCUGUGUACUAGUGCACAUCCAAUCAUUGAGAAACUAUGCUACUGCGGCAUCGGUGCACAUCAGUCCCCGCCUAGCGGGAAGUUGUGUACUGGGCUCAGCUGGCGGCGUAGUUUAGCUGUGUGACAGCUGUGGGAUGCGUUUGUUGAAUGUGCCUGCUUUGUCUGCGAAUCGGUUUAUUCCUUUUUGCGGUGAGUAUGGUACAGUAGGCGAGCGUCUCGCCAUCAAUGGUUGACAUUAGUUAUUUGACCCGUCUUGAAACACGGACCAAGGAGUUCAAAUGGCACGCGAGUCAUUGGGUUUAAACACCCGAAGGCGAAGUGAAAUGCAAACCUAUCGUUACUCGUAGAAUCUACGAUUCAGCGAUAAGCUACUCGUGCUUUCUGGCAUUUGUAGACUAAAAGCGUGAUGUUUGAGACCCGAAA